RNAcentral lists this transfer RNA (74 nucleotides) under Parcubacteria group bacterium. RNAcentral's name for it is "tRNA-Thr". It matches the Rfam family "tRNA". Rfam says of the family: Transfer RNA (tRNA) molecules are approximately 80 nucleotides in length. Their secondary structure includes four short double-helical elements and three loops (D, anti-codon, and T loops). The record is from RNAcentral.
GCUGGUGUAGCUGAGGGGCUUAGCAAGGGUUUUGUAAACCUUAGACGGUGGUUCGAUUCCAUCCUCCAGCACCA